GUCGGGAGUUAGGAAAUGUAUACUCGCUUAUAUCGGGGCUAUUUGACAAAGGCUCUAAAGGAAGCCACGGAUAGCUCUGUGCCAGGAGCCGCGGGAAUACAGAGGUGGUCAGCGUUGUUCGGAAUUAUUGGGCGUAAAGAGCACGUAUGUGGAUUUGUAAGUGAGACGUGAAAGCCUUCUGUGCAACGGAAGAAUUGCAUCUGAAACUACAAACCUUGAGUGUAGGAGGGGAGAGCGGAACUUCUGGC
RNAcentral lists this ribosomal RNA (248 nucleotides) under uncultured Planctomycetales bacterium. Its description in RNAcentral is "partial 16S ribosomal RNA". It matches the Rfam family "Bacterial small subunit ribosomal RNA", at positions 434 to 674 of the family's 1533-position model. Lineage: Bacteria; Pseudomonadati; Planctomycetota; Planctomycetia; Planctomycetales. The record is from RNAcentral.